RNAcentral lists this ribosomal RNA (498 nucleotides) under uncultured bacterium. Its description in RNAcentral is "bacterial SSU rRNA". It matches the Rfam family "Bacterial small subunit ribosomal RNA", at positions 1 to 507 of the family's 1533-position model. The record is from RNAcentral.
CACGAGUUUGAUCAUGGCUCAGGAUGAACGCUAGCGGCAGGCUUAACACAUGCAAGUCGAGGGGUAGGUUACUUCGGUAAUUGAGACCGGCGCACGGGUGCGUAACGCGUAUACAAUCUACCUUUACAGAGGGAUAGCCCAGAGAAUUUGGAUUAAUACCUCAUAGUAUUUUUGAAUCGCAUGAUUUGAUUAUUAAAGUUCCAACGGUAAAAGAUGAGUAUGCGUCCCAUUAGCUAGAUGGUAAGGUAACGGCUUACCAUGGCUACGAUGGGUAGGGGUCCUGAGAGGGAGAUCCCCCACACUGGUACUGAGACACGGACCAGACUCCUACGGGAGGCAGCAGUGAGGAAUAUUGGUCAAUGGACGCAAGUCUGAACCAGCCAUGCCGCGUGCAGGAUGACGGUCCUAUGGAUUGUAAACUGCUUUUGUACGAGAAGAAACAACAUUACGUGUAAUGUCUUGACGGUAUCGUAAGAAUAAGGAUCGGCUAACUCCGUG